UGGACCUGCAUAUAAAGCAAGAGCCCAGCACAGGGACUGCAGACCACGGCAAGAUCUCCAGGUGAAAAGACAGAAACUCCCUCCAACUAUGAAGACCGUGGCCAUCUUGCUCUGCGUGGUCGCUGGCGCCGCUGCGUUCCCGCAGGGCUAUUUCCCAGGUCUGUUUGGUCAGAACAGCCAGGCGACCGGAAGUGCCGCCGGCAAUGUGGUGUCUGGGGUCAGCGGCGGUCCCUUCCAGAACUCCCGGAUCACACAAGUCAGCGCCACCGCCUCGGGUGCGGCAAGAGGCAAUGCGAUCAGUAGAAAUGCUGCCAGCGCCUCUGACUUCGGCUCUUCGGGACUGUUCGGAAACAAGAGGUUCUCGAACACCAAUGCCGUCUCCAACCAGCAGACGUUUGGCGGAGGCUUUGGUGGUUUCCAGCGGCCUUUUGGCAACGGAUACCAGCAGUAUCCCAGCCAGA
Long non-coding RNA from Pollicipes pollicipes, 461 nucleotides. RefSeq lists it as uncharacterized. NCBI's taxonomy places the organism in Eukaryota, Metazoa, Arthropoda, Thecostraca, Pollicipedomorpha, Pollicipedidae. The transcript is spliced from 3 exons. The record is from RefSeq and is a predicted model, not a curated record.